This 507-nucleotide ribosomal RNA is filed under the name uncultured bacterium. RNAcentral's name for it is "bacterial SSU rRNA". It matches the Rfam family "Bacterial small subunit ribosomal RNA", at positions 9 to 526 of the family's 1533-position model. The record is from RNAcentral.
GAGUUUGAUCCUGGCUCAGGACGAACGCUGGCGGCGCGCCUAACACAUGCAAGUCGAACGAGCGAGAGAGAGCUUGCUUUCUCGAGCGAGUGGCGAACGGGUGAGUAACGCGUGAGGAACCUGCCUCAAAGAGGGGGACAACAGUUGGAAACGACUGCUAAUACCGCAUAAGCCCACGGCUCGGCAUCGAGCAGAGGGAAAAGGAGCAAUCCGCUUUGAGAUGGCCUCGCGUCCGAUUAGCUAGUUGGUGAGGUAACGGCCCACCAAGGCGACGAUCGGUAGCCGGACUGAGAGGUUGAAUGGCCACAUUGGGACUGAGACACGGUCCAGACUCCUACGGGAGGCAGCAGUGGGGAAUAUUGGGCAAUGGGCGCAAGCCUGACCCAGCAACGCCGCGUGAGGGAAGAAGGCUUUCGGGUUGUAAACCUCUGUCCUUGGUGACGAAGGAAGUGACGGUAGCCAAGGAGGAAGCCCCGGCUAACUACGUGCCAGCAGCCGCGGUAAUAC